UUCGCAAUGCCCGAAAGGGUGACGAAGCGACGCCGCGUGGAUGAAGAAGGCCUUCGGGUUGUAAAAUCCUGUCAGGAGUUAAGAAAUAUAAGUUUGAUAAUACCAAAUUUAUUUGACAAAGGCUCCAGAGGAAGCCACGGCUAACUCUGUGCCAGCAGCCGCGGUAAUACAGAGGUGGCAAGCGUUGUUCGGAAUUAUUGGGCGUAAAGAGCACGUAGGUGGAUUUGUUAGUCAGAUGUGAAAGCCUUUCGUUCAACGGAAGAAUUGCAUCUGAAACUACAAACCUUGAGUAUAGGAGGGGAGAGUGGAACUUCUGGUGGAGCGGUGAAAUGCGUAGAUAUCAGAAGGAACGCCGGCGGCGAAAGCGACUCUCUGGCCUAUAACUGACACUGAGUGUGCGAAAGCUAGGGGAGCAAACGGGAUUAGAUACCCCGGUAGUCCUAGCCGUAAACGAUGGGCACUAAGUAGAGGGGUUUU
Molecule: ribosomal RNA, 477 nt
Filed under: uncultured Candidatus Scalindua sp.
Lineage: Bacteria; Pseudomonadati; Planctomycetota; Candidatus Brocadiia; Candidatus Brocadiales; Candidatus Scalinduaceae
Description: bacterial SSU rRNA
Rfam family: Bacterial small subunit ribosomal RNA
Source: RNAcentral